GAGUGCUGCCUCAGGCUGUGUUCCUCGUGGAUAUUAUGCUAUGUUGCCCUUUCAACAACGGAGGUCUUUAUCAUUGUCCUGAUUUCACAGGUGCUGCACUGUCCUCAUGCCCUACCCUUCAGCCAUCAUCUCGUACUCCCUUACACCUCUCCCAAGAUGCCAUACUUUGUACCUUUGCACACGCAGCAUGGUCUUUCCAGGACAUCCUUCGCCUCCUUAAGAGACGCCUCAUCAUCCUUGAAGAUCCAGAAACCCAACAGCGCUGUUCUGACUUCAGAGGAAAUGGCUUUUCUGGUUACAGCGGAUGGGUAUUCCUUCACAUUCCGUGGGGAUCUUUGGGAAGAGCUUCAGCGUUUGGGCUGCAGUCCCAGACAGGGAACUCCGGGUUAGUCAAGUGAAGCAGUGGAGAAGGAACAAAGAAAUCUGUAACUGGCUAUGAUCAAUUAGUUGUAAAUUAAUCUCUUAUUUAACAUUUUGAUUGCACGCAAAAAAGAUGAUUUCGUGAACAAUUUAUAUGAUAUAAUCUAGGAGUUUUAGACACUAGAAUGAAAGAGUGAUUAUAGAACUUUAAUGGACACCCAAAAAAAAGUUCUGAAUGGUGAUCUAGGAAUUCUUUAUAAACUUCCUAGAUUUUGAGCCCCCAUUAAAAAAAUCGGGGUGCCUGGCUGCCUUAGUCUGUAAAGCACGCGACUCUUGAUUUCAGCGUCUUGAGUUUGAGUCCCAGGUUUACUUAAAAAAAAAAAAGAAAUGACUGGGGGCACCUGGGUGGCUCAGUCGGUUAGGCAUCUGACUUUGGCUCAAGUCAUGAUCUCAUGGUUUAGGAGUUCGAGCCCAAAAUUAGGCUCUGCACUAACAGUGUGGAGCCUGCUUGGGAUUCUCUCUCUCUUUCUCUGCCCCUCCCCCACUCACACUGUCUCUCUCUCUCUCUCUCUCUCUCUCUCUCUCUCUCUCUGUCUCAAAAUAAAUAAACUUAAAAAACUUUAAAAAAUUUAAAAUGACUAUUGGGGCAUCUGACUGGCUCAGCUGAGGAAUGUACAACUCUUGAUCUCUGGGUCAUAAGUUCAAGCCCAACUUUGUGGGUAGAAAUUACCUUUAAAAAAUCUUUACAAAAAUGACUACUGUAUUUUGGGCCAAACACAACUUCAAAACUUACCAUAACAUUAAAGGCUAUUUAUUUCUUCAAUGGAAUAAAAAGUUUUAGUAAUCAGAUUGGGAAAUGAUCUAAUAUUAGAAAUGUGGUUAUAGGUUAAUGUGUGUAUAUAUCUUUUUGCACUAAAAGAUUAUUUUAUUUUUAAGUUUAAGAUUGUUAAUAUUAUAAUACAUUUCUGAUUUUAUGGGAAGUUUGGAUUUUCACAAAGGUACAUUACAAAAUAGCCCUUUUCCCUCUGAUUUAUUCAACUUUACCUGGGAGCAUACCAUAGAGGAGAAAAAUCUUUGGGGAUUUCUUACAUUCAAUACCACUUUAGUUUAUUUUUAAAAAAAGAUUUUAUGUGUAAGUAAUCUCGACACCCAACGUGGGGCUUGAACUCACAACCUUGAGACUAAGAGUCCCAUGCUCCAUCGACUGAGCCAGCCAGGUGCCAUUCAAUACCAUCUCAGAAGUUCUUUCCACCACAUAUUACAUGAUGAUAAGCAAUAGAUAUGAAUUAAUCUUCAGAUAUGCAGUAAGAUACGAAUCUUGGCUGAAGGCUUUUGCACAUACUUCAUGGGCUUUGUCUCCAGUACAACUUUCCUGAGGUCAAAGUGGGCUUAGGUGUUCAUGCCAGUGUUUACACAUUAAUUAAUCGUUAUCGAUACAAAGUAGAUCAUUUCAAUACCUAGAGUAAAAUCUCUGGAGCCUCAUGGUCCCUGAGAUUUAUUUCCUUUCUUUAUCUGAGAAAUUUCUCUGCCUUACCACCAGCAGAAUUUCUACAUUUAUCAUUUACCUCCUCAUCACCUUUAAUUUCUUGUCCAUUAACUAAGAGCAAAAAUCCUUGAAAUCAUAUGAGUAGGUGAGAGAAGGAAAAGUAGGGGCAAAAAUUUCCUAAAAAUAAAGCCUCCUCCUCAUCUACUUGGAAGCAUCAAUAUCUCUUAUAAAUGGAAAUGCUUCAAACCAAACACUUUUCUCCAUCCCAGUUCAAGUCUCUGGAAGGGUUCAGGAUCGGCGACAGAGAAUAAUCUUAUUCUAAGAUCAGUUGCAGCCCAUUAACUUGAUGACAUUAGUCGGCAGGAACAUGAACAUCACGUAUUCUGGCUAUUUCCUUAAAAAGACUUUAUUUACUGGAGUAUUCGGUGAGUCGGCAGUCAGAAGAUGCCUGGGGUCUGUAAGUUAGAAACCUACCAGUUGUUCAGGAGGACAGCUUUUCCUGGUCUAAGCUUACCAGAAAUGUCUCUUUGGGGAGUCUUAAAGAAGACACCGAUAAACAGCACAUCUAACAACAUCGUUUCAAUAAAAAACGACAGUCCUUCCCCAUGACCGCUGCUUCCUGCCGGCCUGGACGCUUACCCAGGGCGUGAUGCCAAAUGCCCGUUCAGUAAGAGCGAUCCCACGAAGGGGUCAAAGCCGUUUGGUCAAGGUCUGUCUGGUACACUGGCCAGUAUUAGCAAAACUGAAGAAGAAGAUGGAGUGUAUUUCCUUUUGGCACCGUUCUCCAAAUAUUUCUGGAGACAAAAAUCUAUGAUAAGAGUCGGGCAGCUGAGAAGGAAGAGGGAGGCAGCUAUGAACAGAGCGUGAGUGUGUGGGGGGCUGGUGUGGUGGGGUGGGGAACUGGAAGCCUGGAACGGCCUCUCCCCUUCGCCCAUUUUGCCCACCCUCCUCUGGCAACCACCAGUUUGCCCUCUGCAUUUAUGGGUCUGUUUCUGCUUUGGUUUGUUCGCUCCUUUGUUUUGUUUUGUGGAUUUCACAGCUGAGUGAAAUCACAUGGUAUUCAUCUUUCGCUGUCAGACUUAUUUCCCUUCGCACAAGUGAUUCUAAGUCCAUCUAUGUUGUUGCGAAGGGCAAGACUUCAGUCUUUUUUAUGGUUGCGUACUAUUCCGUUGUGUUUACGCACCACAUUUUUGUCCAUUCCUUUAUCAGUGGGCGCUUCCCUAUCUUGGCUACUGUAAGUAAUGCUGCAAUAAACAUAGGGGUGCAUAGA
Acinonyx jubatus (cheetah) is the source of this 3116-nucleotide long non-coding RNA. RefSeq lists it as uncharacterized. NCBI's taxonomy places the organism in Eukaryota, Metazoa, Chordata, Mammalia, Carnivora, Felidae. The record is from RefSeq and is a predicted model, not a curated record. The transcript is spliced from 4 exons.